CCAAUGCAUACAUGCUAAACUUACAAUAUGAUGGUGCUGAAGAAACAGUUCUUUCUACUUCAUCCCCUGAUUUUAAUUUUGGGAACAAGUAAAAAAGCCUUGGCAGAUAGAGAACAGUAAUUACAAGUUACCUGCAAUAUGUACCAAGCCAAGAAAAGUGGGUCAUCUUUGGAUGCCAACCAUUUAAUGUUGAAUGAAAAACUUGUGUAACUUAACUUGUAUAAUUUUGUACUUACAACUCUGCGGUCGCGAUUGCUCUUAUCACCUUGGAUUGAAAUGCCUUUUACAGAGUCUAUGGUUGGAACAGCAUCAGAGCGCAAUUGUCGUCUCAUGUUUAGCGAUUUUACAACUGUUGCGUUCACGGUGAAUGCAGAAUCUGUGAAAUGCAUUGAACAUAGCACAGAGUACUGCUGAGGAACGAAUUUUGGCCUAUGUCUCCUAACAAAUUUUGUCCAUUUACUCAGCCUCUCCUUGUCAUUCAUGGGGAAACGAUGUACUGAGACACCCUCUGUGUGUUGACUGUUUGUACAACUUUUUCCGUUGGGCCAACCAGCAACACAAUAUUGUCCUCCUCGACGAUUUUUUGCAGAAUUUUGCCUACUCGCCAUAUUUUAACUUGCGGUGUAUCGUUACGUUUUGACUAACUUAAUAAAAAAUUAUUCUCCUUAUAUUAUGUGCGUUGUGAUAAUAUUGCAUGGGUUUUAAAACCACAGACUACGUCAAGGAUGCGACACCCAUAUGAUAAGAAUGAUAAGUCUAAUCCAGAAGUUUAUAAAAGUAGUAUACAUUGGAUGAUUGGAAAUAAGCGCGUUACAGUUAGUUUCUGAUAACAUUGCGUGUGUGUUAAAACCGCAGACUUCGUCAAGGAUGCGGCACCCAGUUUAUUGAGAAAUAUAAGUUAAUUCAAGAAGUUUA
Molecule: long non-coding RNA, 915 nt
Organism: Xenia sp. Carnegie-2017
Lineage: Eukaryota; Metazoa; Cnidaria; Anthozoa; Malacalcyonacea; Xeniidae
Exons: 2
Source: RefSeq, a predicted model, not a curated record